AACGAACGCUGGCGGCAUGCCUAACACAUGCAAGUCGAACGAGACCUUCGGGUCUAGUGGCGCACGGGUGCGUAACGCGUGGGAACCUGCCCUUAGGUUCGGAAUAACUCCCCGAAAGGGGUGCUAAUACCGGAUAAUGUCUUCGGACCAAAGAUUUAUCCCCUUUGGAUGGGCCCGCGUUGGAUUAGCUAGUUGGUAGGGUAAAAGCCUACCAAGGCGACGAUCCAUAGCUUGUCUGAGAGGAUGAUCAGCCACACUGGGACUGAGACACGGCCCAGACUCCUACGGGAGGCAGCAGUGGGGAAUAUUGGACAAUGGGCGAAAGCCUGAUCCAGCAAUGCCGCGUGAGUGAUGAAGGCCUUAGGGUUGUAAAGCUCUUUUACCCGGGAUGAUAAUGACAGUACCGGGAGAAUAAGCUCCGGCUAACUCCGUG
Molecule: ribosomal RNA, 433 nt
Filed under: uncultured bacterium
Lineage: Bacteria
Description: partial 16S ribosomal RNA
Rfam family: Bacterial small subunit ribosomal RNA
Source: RNAcentral